Small nuclear RNA from Sorex fumeus (smoky shrew), 105 nucleotides. Lineage: Eukaryota; Metazoa; Chordata; Mammalia; Eulipotyphla; Soricidae. The record is from RefSeq and is a predicted model, not a curated record.
GCGCUUCGGCAGCACAUAUACUAAAAUUGGAAUGAUACAGAGAAGAUUAGCAUGGCCCCUGCGCAUGUGGAAUAAACUAUAGAUAAAUAAUAUUUUCAAAAUUAU